AAGUGGAACUAGUUUGAUGAUGCCAGGAAACCAUUUGAAACCCUUAUCUCAACUCUCCCAGCCCCAAAGAAUCCUGAUUCUAAUUAAAUGAACAAGUGAGAUCUCUGACAUAAAAGACAAAAGAAAAAUAUGUUAGGCAGUUUUACAGAUAAUUGAGGUCAAUUAGUUGAGAGGUUAAUCCAUUUGUUCAAGGCUGAAAACUAGUCAUCUAAAAAAAAUUCAAUAGGUUAUGGGGUUGUAGAAAUUGAAUUCUUUCUAGAAUUUAAAAACUAAUUUCAAUUGUGUUAUUGUGUUCAAAGUAAAAUAUACUUCUAUAGCCAGUAGAAAGUCUAAUGUUAAGUCACCUGAUAUCUAAAAUGUUUUAAUUAACUUGCAUGCACCUAGCUGAUUGAAAUUGAAAUUACACUCAGAUUUAUAAAAUGGCCAUUUUUUACAAGCAGCAUCAUAAAGCAAACGGAAGUUAUAGAAAGGUUAUAAAACAAACAACAUUAUAAAUUAGCUUUACAAAAAUCUCCUUUCUAAAACCUAUUAGCCAAACAAUGUUUUUCAAUCCCAAGCAAUAAAAGGCACUGUCAAAAGCACAAUCUUUGGCUCCUUCUGGUACAAAGUUUAUCACUACCACUGCACUAGAACUGCACAGACCCAAUCACCAAGAACCAGAGCUAAAGGGCCCCACCCUCAGCCAAUUUUAAUCAUCUUUUUCCAGGAAAAAAAAUGCUUAUAAAUCUAACACUCAUCUGAACCAACCAUCCCCCCGAACUGUCUAGUUUUUAAUUAAUUUAGUGGUAGUUGGGAUUGAACACAGUACCUCACUCAUACUGAGCUACACUAAGUCUUUAAACUAAUUUUAUAACUGAAGUAAUAAUACAUUUAAAAAUUACUAGGCAAGUCAUAGCACACUUGCCUAUUAAGUACAAUUAAAUAAAAAUUCAGAAUUUAAAUAAGAUCAUCUGCAAGAACAUAUAUUAAUGUGCAAUUAUGACCAUGCAUAAUUAUAUCCUAAUGUUAUUUUUUAAUUAGUUUUAUUCAUUUAUUGUUUAUGUGGUACAAAAGAAUUGAACCCAGGGACUCAUGCAUGCUAGGCAAGCACUUUACCACUAAGCCACAUUCCUAGCCCCCCUAAAAAAAGUCAUUUCUAACUCAACCCAGACACAAAGUUAAGAGUAUAAUAGAAGAAAUAAAAAGAAAGUAACAAGAAAUUUCCAUUUUAAUCUCAACUCUACAUCUAAAGACCCAAAAAGUUGAGGGUUUUUCUUUUUU
Perognathus longimembris pacificus (Pacific pocket mouse) is the source of this 1260-nucleotide long non-coding RNA. RefSeq lists it as uncharacterized. NCBI's taxonomy places the organism in Eukaryota, Metazoa, Chordata, Mammalia, Rodentia, Heteromyidae. The transcript is spliced from 2 exons. The record is from RefSeq and is a predicted model, not a curated record.